CCAGAGAACUUAGCAGAGAUGCUUUGGUGCCUUCGGGAACUCUGAGACAGGUGCUGCAUGGCUGUCGUCAGCUCGUGUUGUGAAAUGUUGGGUUAAGUCCCGCAACGAGCGCAACCCUUAUCCUUUGUUGCCAGCGGUCCGGCCGGGAACUCAAAGGAGACUGCCAGUGAUAAACUGGAGGAAGGUGGGGAUGACGUCAAGUCAUCAUGGCCCUUACGAGUAGGGCUACACACGUGCUACAAUGGCGCAUACAAAGAGAAGCGACCUCGCGAGAGCAAGCGGACCUCAUAAAGUGCGUCGUAGUCCGGAUUGGAGUCUGCAACUCGACUCCAUGAAGUCGGAAUCGCUAGUAAUCGUAGAUCAGAAUGCUACGGUGAAUACGUUCCCGGGCCUUGUACACACCGCCCGUCACACCAUGGGAGUGGGUUGCAAAAGAAGUAGGUAGCUUAACCUUCGGGAGGGCGCUUACCACUUUGUGAUUCAUGACUGGGGUGAAGUCGUAACAAGGUAAGCGUAGCGAG
RNAcentral lists this ribosomal RNA (521 nucleotides) under uncultured bacterium. RNAcentral describes it as "bacterial SSU rRNA". It matches the Rfam family "Bacterial small subunit ribosomal RNA", at positions 988 to 1509 of the family's 1533-position model. The record is from RNAcentral.